RNAcentral lists this ribosomal RNA (224 nucleotides) under uncultured Eubacteriales bacterium. RNAcentral describes it as "uncultured Clostridiales bacterium partial 16S ribosomal RNA". It matches the Rfam family "Bacterial small subunit ribosomal RNA", at positions 109 to 334 of the family's 1533-position model. Lineage: Bacteria; Bacillati; Bacillota; Clostridia; Eubacteriales. The record is from RNAcentral.
AGUAACGCGUGAGUAACCUGCCUUACACAUGGGGAUAGCCGUUGGAAACGACGAAUAAUACCCUAUGAAACUAUCACUUCGCAUGAAGCGAUAGUCAAAGUGUUAGCGGUGUAAGAUGGACUUGCGUCUGAUUAGCUAGUUGGUGAGAAAAAGCCCACCAAGGCAACGAUCAGUAGCCGGCUUGAGAGAGUGUACGGCCACAUUGGGACUGAGACACGGCCCAG